AAUUUGUCAUAUUUCUAACGGAAUGAUGGGCACUGCCUUUGGUACAACCCUACAGGUAGUCAAAUAUACAACGUUUUUAAUCCAGAGACAAUGAAACUGGAAUGGGUCGAAUUGGCGCUUAAUGUUGUGAGAAAUGCAUCAAAGACGCUGUGACGUCAACGCAUAGCAUUUGCAAAGCUAGGUCAGUAGUCCAAUGUAUUGACAAUGGGGCAGCCAAGUGAUACAUGAACUAAAAUGAGUGCAAAUAAUCGACAUAGUAAGAUACAAUAGUAACUGGAUUAAAUAUUUAAUUACAGACAAUAUGGAUUAUCUACAGAAUUGAUAUAUUACAAGGGACAACUAUGGAACUAAAAA
This 354-nucleotide long non-coding RNA is filed under the name Mytilus galloprovincialis (Mediterranean mussel). The record is from RNAcentral. Lineage: Eukaryota; Metazoa; Mollusca; Bivalvia; Mytilida; Mytilidae.